GGAUGAACGCUGGCGGCGUGCUUAACACAUGCAAGUCGAACGAUGAAGCCCAGCUUGCUGGGUGGAUUAGUGGCGAGCGGGUGAGUAACACGUGAGCAACCUGCCCCUGACUCUGGGAUAAGCGCUGGAAACGGCGUCUAAUACUGGAUAUGUCCCGUCACCGCAUGGUGUGCGGGUGGAAAGAUUUUUCGGUUGGGGAUGGGCUCGCGGCCUAUCAGCUUGUUGGUGAGGUAAUGGCUCACCAAGGCGUCGACGGGUAGCCGGCCUGAGAGGGUGACCGGCCACACUGGGACUGAGACACGGCCCAGACUCCUACGGGAGGCAGCAGUGGGGAAUAUUGCACAAUGGGCGGAAGCCUGAUGCAGCAACGCCGCGUGAGGGAUGACGGCCUUCGGGUUGUAAACCUCUUUUAGCAGGGAAGAAGCGAAAGUGACGGUACCUGCAGAAAAAGCACCGGCUAACUACGUG
This 468-nucleotide ribosomal RNA is filed under the name uncultured bacterium. Its description in RNAcentral is "partial 16S ribosomal RNA". It matches the Rfam family "Bacterial small subunit ribosomal RNA", at positions 27 to 507 of the family's 1533-position model. The record is from RNAcentral.